CCUCCCACUCCUUCACUCACACAACCAAAUUACUUAACAUUCCAACCAUAUAAAACGUAUUAACCUGGCAACCAUAGUUACGAAGCACGUGACAUGACACUUAUAAGAUCACAACAUGAAAAUGCGGGACCUCAUACAGUACGUCAUUUAAGAAAAAAAAUCCUUGUAUUCAUGAUUGAGGGUGCGGCACCAACUAAUGUGACAGUUGAAGAAGAUGAAAGCAAGAGAAAAUAUUUGUGUGUACUAAUACAGGUACUGGACUCCUUCAGUAGAUUCAAUAAUAGCACGGCAUCCAGGGCCUAAGGUAGCAAAGCAAGCCCAAACCAUUACCCAACUAACACCAUGUUUGAUGGUUGAUGUGAGGUUCUUCUGGUCAAAGGCCAAACAACUCCACUUUUGGCUCAUUUGUCCCAAGCACAUUGUUCCAGAAGUCUUGUUUUUCAUUCAGGUUCUGCUUUGAAAACCUAUGCCACUCAGCAAUGUUGUUAUAUUGCAUGCAGACUGAUUUUUUAAAUAAAUAAUAAUAGAGCAGACUUUUUGUGUUUUCUUAGUCAAAUGCAGAUAGUCCUAUCUACUAUUAGGACUAGGUGGAGGUCUCUUAUGUUUAAAUAUGUGAAAAUAUAACAUCUUAAGGAAUACUUUCGUUCGUUUUCUGCUCCCUAUUUUGUACAAAG
Molecule: long non-coding RNA, 674 nt
Filed under: Lepisosteus oculatus (spotted gar)
Lineage: Eukaryota; Metazoa; Chordata; Actinopteri; Semionotiformes; Lepisosteidae
Description: lncRNA (ENSLOCG00000022041.1)
Source: RNAcentral